GGCGGCGCGCUUAACACAUGCAAGUCGAGCGGAUCUGUAGCAAUACAGGUCAGCGGCGGACGGGUGCGUAACACGUGGGUAAUCUGCCCUGGAGAGUGGGAUAACUCGCCGAAAGGCGAGCUAAUACCGCAUAAGCCCACGGAGUCUUCGGACUCUGAGGGAAAAGGUCGCAAGACGCUUCAGGAUGAGCCCGCGGCCCAUCAGCUAGUUGGCGGGGUAACGGCCCACCAAGGCAACGACGGGUAUCUGGUCUGAGAGGACGGCCAGACACACUGGAACUGAGACACGGUCCAGACUCCUACGGGAGGCAGCAGUGGGGAAUCUUGCGCAAUGGGCGAAAGCCUGACGCAGCGACGCCGCGUGUGCGAUGAAGGUCUUCGGAUCGUAAAGCACUGUCGCGAGGGAAGAAACCUGACGGUACCUCGAGAGGAAGCACCGGCUAACUCUGUGCCAGCAGCCGCGGUAAUACAGAGGGUGCGAGCGUUGUUCGGAAUUAUUGGGCGUAAAGCGCUGGUAGGUGGCUCGACAAGUCGCGUGUGAAAUCU
RNAcentral lists this ribosomal RNA (545 nucleotides) under uncultured bacterium. Its description in RNAcentral is "bacterial SSU rRNA". It matches the Rfam family "Bacterial small subunit ribosomal RNA", at positions 38 to 602 of the family's 1533-position model. The record is from RNAcentral.